UACGGAAGGGGCGAGCGUUGUUCGGAAUCACUGGGCGUAAAGCGCGCGUAGGCGGCUUUGCAAGUGCGGCGUGAAAGUCCUGGGCUCAACCUGGGGACGGCGCUGCGGACUGCAUGGCUGGAGUCCGGAAGAGGGUGGUGGAAUUCCGAGUGUAGAGGUGAAAUUCGUAGAUAUUCGGAAGAACACCAGUGGCGAAGGCGACUCACUGGACAUGUAUUGACGCUGAGGUACGAAAGCGUGGGGAGCAAACAGG
Molecule: ribosomal RNA, 253 nt
Filed under: uncultured bacterium
Lineage: Bacteria
Description: partial 16S ribosomal RNA
Rfam family: Bacterial small subunit ribosomal RNA
Source: RNAcentral